GAGGAUAUAGCUCAGUGGUAGAGUGCCGUGCUUAGAGUGCACAAGGUUCUGGGUUCAAUCCCCGGUACCUCA
RNAcentral lists this transfer RNA (72 nucleotides) under Camelus bactrianus (Bactrian camel). It matches the Rfam family "tRNA". From Rfam's summary of the family: Transfer RNA (tRNA) molecules are approximately 80 nucleotides in length. Their secondary structure includes four short double-helical elements and three loops (D, anti-codon, and T loops). Further hydrogen bonds mediate the characteristic L-shaped molecular structure. tRNAs have two regions of fundamental functional importance: the anti-codon, which is responsible for specific mRNA codon recognition, and the 3' end, to which the tRNAs corresponding amino acid is attached (by aminoacyl-tRNA synthetases). tRNAs cope with the degeneracy of the genetic code in two manners: having more than one tRNA (with a specific anti-codon) for a particular amino acid; and 'wobble' base-pairing, i.e. permitting non-standard base-pairing at the 3rd anti-codon position. RNAcentral also lists the same sequence under 1 other name. The record is from Rfam by way of RNAcentral. Lineage: Eukaryota; Metazoa; Chordata; Mammalia; Artiodactyla; Camelidae.